AGAGUUUGAUCAUGGCUCAGGACGAACGCUGGCGGCGUGCUUAACACAUGCAAGUCGAGCGGUAAGGCCCCUUCGGGGGUACACGAGCGGCGAACGGGUGAGUAACACGUGAGCAACCUACCCUCAACUUUGGGAUAAGCCUCGGAAACGGGGUCUAAUACCGGAUAUGACUGCGGACUUCAUGGUUUGUGGUUGAAAGUUCUGGCGGUUGGGGAUGGGCUCGCGGCCUAUCAGCUUGUUGGUGGGGUAAUGGCCUACCAAGGCUUCGACGGGUAGCCGGCCUGAGAGGGCGACCGGCCACACUGGGACUGAGACACGGCCCAGACUCCUACGGGAGGCAGCAGUGGGGAAUAUUGCGCAAUGGACGAAAGUCUGACGCAGCAACGCCGCGUGAGGGAUGACGGCCUUCGGGUUGUAAACCUCUUUCAGCAGGGACGAAGCGAGAGUGACGGUACCUGCAGAAGAAGGACCGGCCAACUACGUGCCAGCAGCCGCGGUAAUAC
Molecule: ribosomal RNA, 503 nt
Filed under: uncultured bacterium
Lineage: Bacteria
Description: bacterial SSU rRNA
Rfam family: Bacterial small subunit ribosomal RNA
Source: RNAcentral